RNAcentral lists this long non-coding RNA (505 nucleotides) under Homo sapiens (human). Its description in RNAcentral is "HSALNT0354576". Lineage: Eukaryota; Metazoa; Chordata; Mammalia; Primates; Hominidae. The record is from RNAcentral.
UGGCGCAUGCUUGCUUCCCAAAGCUAAGGAGGGCUCUGUGCAGGCGGGCAGCCCACCCUAAGGGAAGAAUCAUGGGAAAGAGCUCUGGCCUUGCAGCCUGUUUCUUCAUCUGAAAAAAAGAAGGAAAAAUAAUACCAAACUCAGAAAGACUUCAUGAGGAUCGAGUCUGUUUGAAUUGCUUUUCAUUGCACCUUCUAAAUAUGGGGAACUGCGACAUGAAGAAGUUAACUUACCUAAGAUCAGAGAAUGAGUCAAGGACAGAACAGGACCAUGUCAUCAAAUUUAGAGAAACUUGAACUAUGCAGAAAAGAGAUGGGAUUCUUCUGUGGCUGUGCUGCUCACUCAAGGGAGUCUGAACCAUUUUGACCAGGAAAAGCCAAAGGAAAGGCCACUGCCAAGGGCAGACCACACAUUGCCUGAAGUCAUUGUUCUCCAUUCCAGCCCCAAGAACUCUGCGAGAUCGAUGAAAGCAUACAUUGAGAAAUAAAAGUCAUGAGAAAAUUUU